RNAcentral lists this ribosomal RNA (904 nucleotides) under uncultured bacterium. Its description in RNAcentral is "bacterial SSU rRNA". It matches the Rfam family "Bacterial small subunit ribosomal RNA", at positions 24 to 901 of the family's 1533-position model. The record is from RNAcentral.
UCAGAACGAACGCUGGCGGCGUGGAUUAGGCAUGCAAGUCGAACGCGAAAGAGGGGGCAACUCCUCGAGUAGAGUGGCGAACGGGUGAGUAACGCGUGAGAAACCUGCCUUCAUCAGGGGGAUAACACUCCCAACGGGGUGCUAAUACCGCAUGAGACCACGGGAUCGCAUGGUCCUGAGGUCAAAGGUGGCCUCUAUUUAUAAGCUACCGGAUGAAGAUGGUCUCGCGUCCCAUUAGCUAGUUGGCGGGGUAACGGCCCACCAAGGCGACGAUGGGUAGCUGGUCUGAGAGGAUGGUCAGCCACACUGGGACUGAGAUACGGCCCAGACUCCUACGGGAGGCAGCAGUCGAGAGGCUUCGGCAAUGGGGGAAACCCUGACCGAGCGACGCCGCGUGGGGGAUGAAGGCCCUUGGGUUGUAAACCCCUUUUGUUCGGGAAGAAGUGCGAUCAGGUGAACAAUCUGGUCGUUUGACGGUACCGGACGAAUAAGCUCCGGCUAACUCCGUGCCAGCAGCCGCGGUAACACGGGGGGAGCAAGCGUUGUUCGGAAUCACUGGGCGUAAAGGGCGUGUAGGCGGUCAGGUAAGUGAGAUGUGAAAUGCCCCGGCUCACCCGGGGACCGGCAUCUCAUACUGUCUGGCUUGAGUACGGGAGAGGAUGUGGGAAUUCCUGGUGUAGCGGUGAAAUGCGUAGAUAUCAGGAGGAACACCGGUGGCGAAGGCGCACAUCUGGCCCGAUACUGACGCUGAGGCGCGAAAGCUAGGGGAGCAAGCGGGAUUAGAUACCCCGGUAGUCCUAACCGUAAACGGUGAUCACUAGGUGUUGGAGGCAUUGACCCCUCCAGUGCCGCAGCUAACGCAUUAAGUGAUCCGCCUGGGGAGUACGGGCCGGCAGGUGAAACU